Molecule: ribosomal RNA, 538 nt
Filed under: uncultured bacterium
Lineage: Bacteria
Description: partial 16S ribosomal RNA
Source: RNAcentral
GGAGUUAGCCGGUGCUUCUUCUGUGAGUGAUGUCCUUCCUGCCGGCUAUUAACCCGCAGGCCUUCUUCCUCACUGAAAGUGCUUUACAACCCGAAGGCCUUCUUCACACACGCGGCAUGGCUGGAUCAGGGUUGCCCCCAUUGUCCAAUAUUCCCCACUGCUGCCUCCCGUAGGAGUCUGGGCCGUGUCUCAGUCCCAGUGUGGCUGAUCAUCCUCUCAGACCAGCUACGGAUCGUCGCCUUGGUGAGCCGUUACCUCACCAACCAGCUAAUCCGACAUAGGCUCAUCCGAUAGCGCGAGGCCCGAAGGUCCCCCGCUUUCCCCCGUAGGGCGUAUGCGGUAUUAGCCUGGGUUUCCCCCAGGUUAUCCCCCACUACCGGGGCAGAUUCCUAUGCAUUACUCACCCGUCCGCCGCUCGCCACCAGGGAGCAAGCUCCCCGUGCUGCCGCUCGACUUGCAUGUGUUAGGCCUGCCGCCAGCGUUCAAUCUGACACGAUACACUAACUCUGACUAGCGGCGGUCGUCGGACGACGGCGCA